Molecule: long non-coding RNA, 445 nt
Filed under: Mytilus galloprovincialis (Mediterranean mussel)
Lineage: Eukaryota; Metazoa; Mollusca; Bivalvia; Mytilida; Mytilidae
Source: RNAcentral
CAUUUUAUCAAUUUUAGUUUCCCAAUUUAACUUUUCACAUUCGUUUGUGUUGUGACCAAAAUAAAUUCCUAAGGCUUUAACUGGUUUGUCCGUCCAGCGUAUUCCCUCAAUUUUAUCUUUACUAUGUUUAAGCGCCCCUAUCCAUAUUCCUUCUGUUUUACUACGAUUUAAUCUCAGACCUGAGAAAGAACCAAACGUUUCUAUUAUAUUCAUAGCAUUUGAUAUGUCGGUUUUUGAACUACAAAAAAAGAGUUGUAUCAUCCGCCAAUUGAGAUAUUUUUAUGCUAUGUGUUUUUUUAUCAAUAGUAAUUCGAAUACCUUUGAUGUCGGGGUUUUGUCGUAAUCUCAAAGCCAUAAUUUCUACUGACAAAACAAAAAGUAAAGCAGAUAAAGGGCAUCCUUGACGGAUUCCUCUGGAGUUUUCAAAAAUCUCAGAUACCUAUCC